GGGAUCAAGGGUAGCUGCAGUCUAUCUGCAGUCCAGUGACCUGGAGGGGUCAGAGGCAGGAAGGAGAGAGAGCAACUCCAGAAAGAACCAUACCAGCAAGGAAUAACUUUGCUACUUUUCCAGAAAAUCACAUCAUCAGCAACUGACCAAGUUCCUACAGAGCCUGGGCAGAGAAUCAGAGAGAUGAUUGAUUCUCCAUGCCUGGCCUCUUUUGUUCCAUGUAUGUUUGUGAAGUGUGUCCAUGAUGCUGUACACAGCGAUAGCUCACUCAUUGCUGAUAAUGAAGCCCAGCAGCUUACCCAUUUCACUGCAGUAAACAACAUAUUGCUUCUUGUUUGUGUGUCCUGAAUCACGGAGACAUGCACUGUACAAUUCCGUGAGUUUGGACGGUUGCCUACAUUUAUACAAACGACCACCUCUGGACUCACUGCUGUUCCAGCUUCUGCAAAUGCUAAGCUCAGCGUUUCCCCACACCAGGUCCGUGUGCUAUAGGUUUUAUUACAGCAUUUCCUAUGCAUGGUUGCAUGCAGUGGACAAUCUUUUCUGCCUGGUUUCAGUGCCUUUCAGAUUUGUCCAAACUCUUGCAUGAAUCGAUUGAAUGUACUUAUUGCUGAAUAGAAUUCUAGUAAAAAGUGUUUAUCCAUUCACGA
Molecule: long non-coding RNA, 650 nt
Filed under: Mus caroli (Ryukyu mouse)
Lineage: Eukaryota; Metazoa; Chordata; Mammalia; Rodentia; Muridae
Description: lncRNA (MGP_CAROLIEiJ_G0006136.1)
Source: RNAcentral